Molecule: ribosomal RNA, 677 nt
Filed under: Rhodobacteraceae bacterium GPM2535
Lineage: Bacteria; Pseudomonadati; Pseudomonadota; Alphaproteobacteria; Rhodobacterales; Paracoccaceae
Description: bacterial SSU rRNA
Rfam family: Bacterial small subunit ribosomal RNA
Source: RNAcentral
GGACGGGUGAGUAACGCGUGGGAACGUGCCCUUCUCUGCAGGAUAGCCACUGGAAACGGUGAGUAAUACUGCAUACGCCCUUCGGGGGAAAGAUUUAUCGGAGAAGGAUCGGCCCGCGUUAGAUUAGGUAGUUGGUGGGGUAACGGCCUACCAAGCCUACGAUCUAUAGCUGGUUUGAGAGGAUGAUCAGCCACACUGGGACUGAGACACGGCCCAGACUCCUACGGGAGGCAGCAGUGGGGAAUCUUAGACAAUGGGGGCAACCCUGAUCUAGCCAUGCCGCGUGAGUGAUGAAGGCCUUAGGGUCGUAAAGCUCUUUCGCUGGGGAAGAUAAUGACGGUACCCAGUAAAGAAACCCCGGCUAACUCCGUGCCAGCAGCCGCGGUAAUACGGAGGGGGUUAGCGUUGUUCGGAAUUACUGGGCGUAAAGCGCGCGUAGGCGGAUCAGAAAGUUGGGGGUGAAAUCCCGGGGCUCAACCUCGGAACUGCCUCCAAAACUCCUGGUCUUGAGUUCGAGAGAGGUGAGUGGAACUCCGAGUGUAGAGGUGAAAUUCGUAGAUAUUCGGAAGAACACCAGUGGCGAAGGCGGCUCACUGGCUCGAUACUGACGCUGAGGUGCGAAAGUGUGGGGACAACAGGAUAGAUACCUGGUAUCCACACCGUAACGAUGAAUGCCA